UCUGGUUCUGGUCUAUGUUUUGUCGUCAGUCAGUUGUCGUUGUCAAGCAGGUUUAUUUAACCUCAAACCAUAGCUAAAUAGAAAAUAGUCGCAGGGGAUGAGGAGUGAGGUGGAAGAUGCUUUGUUCCCGUCGUCUCUCGACAAUCCCUCUCACCGUUCUCACAGCCAUCCUUGUCAUGAUAAUAUUCAUUACAAAGCAAGUUAAGGAUCUGUACGAAAGAAACCAAAAGUUCCAUCGCAUGGAGAACUACAAUCAAUUUAUUAGCGAGGUGUCUUCAUCAAUGACAUCGCUAGAGUCGUCUGUAAACAAAACUUCAAACACCCUUCAUCAGCUGAGCGACGUGUUGCAAAGGCAUCACAACAGAUGACACAUGGAUUUGUCUCUAGCAUCUUCUCUCCAUAUAGCUGUUCACCAAAUCGUUUAACGACUUUCUACUCCUAACAGGUCUAAAAUUGUUAAUGUUUUUGUUAUUGUCUAAAAUGUCAAUUUUUCACUUGUAGGCUAUUUGAAUAAUCUAAAUGUUUGUAAUUUGGUACUUGAGUAUUAGAUGGAAAAACUUGUUUGUUAUUGAGCCAGUAGAAAUAGCUUUAUGAAAUCAAAGUUUAAAUAUUUAUACCUGUUGUAGUUUUCUAGUUUAUCUGUUUUAUGUGUAGACAAGAUGUAACCUUGUAGUAUUAAUGUUGUUCCUAACUUAUAUAGACAAAAUGUUAAGUUUUAAUCAAAUUGUGAAAUA
Macrosteles quadrilineatus (aster leafhopper) is the source of this 734-nucleotide long non-coding RNA. RefSeq lists it as uncharacterized. The transcript has 4 exons. The record is from RefSeq and is a predicted model, not a curated record. Lineage: Eukaryota; Metazoa; Arthropoda; Insecta; Hemiptera; Cicadellidae.